GACGAACGCUGGCGGCGUGCCUAAUACAUGCAAGUCGAGCGAACCAAUAAGAAGCUUGCUUUUUGUUGGUUAGCGGCGGACGGGUGAGUAACACGUGGGUAACCUGCCUGUAAGACCGGGAUAACUCCGGGAAACCGGUGCUAAUACCGGAUAGAUUAUCUUUCCGCCUGGAGAGAUAAGGAAAGAUGGCUUUUGCCAUCACUUACAGAUGGGCCCGCGGCGCAUUAGCUAGUUGGUGAGGAACGGCUCACCAAGGCGACGAUGCGUAGCCGACCUGAGAGGGUGAUCGGCCACACUGGGAC
RNAcentral lists this ribosomal RNA (302 nucleotides) under uncultured bacterium. RNAcentral describes it as "bacterial SSU rRNA". It matches the Rfam family "Bacterial small subunit ribosomal RNA", at positions 28 to 319 of the family's 1533-position model. The record is from RNAcentral.